AUACGUGCCGAAGCCUCUGCAAGCUUCUGCAGUAACAGAGUAUACGUCUUCAUUUUGGAUAGUUUUCCAUGUGUCUUAUGGCCAGCAUUCAUUUUAGUAACGUAAACUGUAGUUUUAGUUUUAAGUUUAGUUUAUAGUUAAUUAUAACAACUUUGAUUCACACUUUUGUUUUGGCAGGUUGUUUGUGCCAGCAGAAACCAUUCAUGAAAGAUGCACCCCUGAGGCUUACAGAGGUAUACUCCAUCAUCUGCUAAGCAGGCUGGUUCCGGAGGGGCAAAUAAGAGCUGCUUCAAUGACAGUCUAGUAAGUAAGAGCUGCUCACCUCAAUUAUGGGAGUUAAUGAAUAGAUAAUCACAUUUUGAAUUUAGAUUUGCUGCUUGUGUUGCAAGA
RNAcentral lists this long non-coding RNA (390 nucleotides) under Oreochromis niloticus (Nile tilapia). RNAcentral's name for it is "lncRNA (ENSONIG00000029199.1)". Lineage: Eukaryota; Metazoa; Chordata; Actinopteri; Cichliformes; Cichlidae. The record is from RNAcentral.